GGCUAACUAGCUGCCGGGAGCCGGUGUAAUACGGAGGGGGCAAGGGUUGUCCGGAUUUAUUGGGCGUAAAGAGCGUGUAGGCGGCCAGGUAGGGCCGUUGUGAAAACUCGGGGCUCAACCUCGAGACGCCGAUGGAAACCAUCUGGCUAGAGUCCGGAAGAGGAGAGUGGAAUUCCUGGUGUAGCGGUGAAAUGCGCAGAUAUCAGGAAGAACACCCGUGGCUAAGGCGGCUCUCUAGUACGGUACUGACGCUGAGACGCGAAAGCGUGGGGAGCGAACAGGAUUAGAUACCCCUGAGUC
This 300-nucleotide ribosomal RNA is filed under the name uncultured Lactobacillus sp. Its description in RNAcentral is "bacterial SSU rRNA". It matches the Rfam family "Bacterial small subunit ribosomal RNA", at positions 495 to 795 of the family's 1533-position model. Lineage: Bacteria; Bacillati; Bacillota; Bacilli; Lactobacillales; Lactobacillaceae. The record is from RNAcentral.